GGAGGGCUAGACCUAACUGGUAAGGCAGCGGUCUUGAAAACCGCCGGGCGCAAGCCCUUGGGGGUUCGAGCUGCGGCUGCUGACGCAGCCUUGCUCUGCUGCGCAACGAGUCCCCCGCCCUCCG
This 124-nucleotide transfer RNA is filed under the name Gemmatimonadales bacterium. RNAcentral describes it as "tRNA-Ser". Lineage: Bacteria; Pseudomonadati; Gemmatimonadota; Gemmatimonadia; Gemmatimonadales. The record is from RNAcentral.